This 253-nucleotide ribosomal RNA is filed under the name uncultured bacterium. RNAcentral describes it as "partial 16S ribosomal RNA". It matches the Rfam family "Bacterial small subunit ribosomal RNA", at positions 524 to 776 of the family's 1533-position model. The record is from RNAcentral.
UACAGAGGGGGCAGGCGUUGUUCGGAAUUACUGGGCGUAAAGGGCUCGUAGGCGGCCAACUAAGUCAUACGUGAAAUCCCUCAGCUUAACUGGGGAACUGCGUGUGAUACUGGAUGGCUUGGAUUUGGGAGAGGGAUGCGGAAUUCCAGGUGUAGCGGUGAAAUGCGUAGAUAUCUGGAGGAACACCGGUGGCGAAGGCGGCAUCCUGGACCAAUAUUGACGCUGAGGAGCGAAAGCCAGGGGAGCAAACGGG